This 256-nucleotide ribosomal RNA is filed under the name uncultured bacterium. Its description in RNAcentral is "partial 16S ribosomal RNA". It matches the Rfam family "Bacterial small subunit ribosomal RNA", at positions 524 to 777 of the family's 1533-position model. The record is from RNAcentral.
GACGGAGGAUGCAAGUGUUAUCCGGGAAUCACUGGGCGUAAAGCGUCUGUAGGUGGUCAAACAAGUCAACUGUUAAAUCUUGAGGCUCAACCUCAAAAUCGCAGUCGAAACUAUUAGACUAGAGUAUAGUAGGGGUAAAGGGAAUUUCCAGUGGAGCGGUGAAAUGCGUAGAGAUUGGAAAGAACACCGAUGGCGAAGGCACUUUACUGGGCUAUUACUAACACUCAGAGACGGAAAGCUAGGGUAGCAAAUGGGG